This 254-nucleotide ribosomal RNA is filed under the name uncultured bacterium. Its description in RNAcentral is "partial 16S ribosomal RNA". It matches the Rfam family "Bacterial small subunit ribosomal RNA", at positions 524 to 776 of the family's 1533-position model. The record is from RNAcentral.
UACAGAGGGGGCAAGCGUUAUUCGGAAUCACUGGGCUUAAAGCGCGUGUAGGCGGGGGGGAACGUCGGCCACUGAAAGCCCCCGGCUCAACCGGGGAAGGGGUGCCGAAACGGCCCGCCUGGAGGGGCGUAGGGGGACCUGGAACUUCCGGUGGAGCGGUGAAAUGCGUUGAGAUCGGAAGGAACGCCCGUGGCGAAAGCGAGGUCCUGGACGUCAUCUGACGCUGAGACGCGAAAGCUAGGGGAGCGAACGGG